RNAcentral lists this ribosomal RNA (497 nucleotides) under uncultured bacterium. RNAcentral's name for it is "partial 16S ribosomal RNA". It matches the Rfam family "Bacterial small subunit ribosomal RNA", at positions 28 to 507 of the family's 1533-position model. The record is from RNAcentral.
GACGAACGCUGGCGGCGUGCCUAAUACAUGCAAGUAGAACGCUGAAGAGAGGAGCUUGCUCUUCUUGGAUGAGUUGCGAACGGGUGAGUAACGCGUAGGUAACCUGCCUGGUAGCGGGGGAUAACUAUUGGAAACGAUAGCUAAUACCGCAUAAAAUUGAUUAUUGCAUGAUAAUUAAUUGAAAGAUGCAACUGCAUCACUACCAGAUGGACCUGCGCUGUAUUAGCUAGUUGGUGAGGUAACGGCUCACCAAGGCGACGAUACAUAGCCGACCUGAGAGGGUGAUCGGCCACACUGGGACUGAGACACGGCCCAGACUCCUACGGGAGGCAGCAGUAGGGAAUCUUCGGCAAUGGGGGGAACCCUGACCGAGCAACGCCGCGUGAGUGAAGAAGGGUGUCGGAUCGUAAAGCUCUGUUGUAAGAGAAGAACGGGUGUGAGAGUGGAAAGUUCACACUGUGACGGUAUCUGACCAGAAAGGGACGGCUAACUACGUG